This 131-nucleotide small nuclear RNA is filed under the name Capsicum annuum. Lineage: Eukaryota; Viridiplantae; Streptophyta; Magnoliopsida; Solanales; Solanaceae. The record is from RNAcentral.
GUCCCUUCGAGAACACUUGAUAAAAGCGGAACAAUAUAAAGAAGAUUAGAAUUGCCUAAUGAUAUAGAGAAGAUUUGCAUAGCCUCUGCGUAAUGAUGACACACAAAAAUCAAGGAAUGGCCCAAAAUUUU